GCUUAAAUUCUUUGACUCCUCGGUACUCAAUUAAAUCCUCUUUUUUGAGGAUUGAAUGAGAAGUAGAAGUAGAAGGCGCUCCGGUGGGAUCCUCACGGACAGAAAAAGAUUGCAGUCAGUUUGAUCCGUAGGCUGAGGAGCAAAAGGAGGAAUCCGCCCGAGGAGGGGCUCGCGUCUGAUUAGCUAGUUGGUGAGGCAAUAGCUUACCAAGGCGAUGAUCAGUAGCUGGUCCGAGAGGAUGAUCAGCCAGUAAGUGAGGCGUUUUUAGGUCGUGUUGUAAAUGCACUGGCUAAACCUAUUGAUGGCCGGGGUGAAAUUUCAGCCUCUGAAUCUUGGUUAAUUGAGUCUCCUGCUCCUGGUAUUAUUUCAAUGUCAAGGGUUCGAAUCCUGUCAUGCCUACCUAUUACUUAUCUUCUGAACAGUAACGGGGGAUCAAUUGAGAUCGAUUAAAAGAAAAUUGGAUAUACAUAAAAAAUCUUUAAUUUUAUGAUAGUAUAUAUGCAAGACGUAUUGGGGUCACAAACUAUUCAUUGUGAUAAUAAAGCGCUCUUAGUUCAGGUCAGUAGAUCGUGGGUCUCCAAAACCCGAUGUCGUAGGUUCAAAUCUACAGAGCGUGAUUCUGUGUUCUUGUUACCUAAAAUAAAGAAUUAACCAAACUUGCCCGAUGUAGAGGCAAUCAAGAAAGCUGCAUAAGCAGAAGAAGCAAUGACGGUAUCUGGGGAAUAAGCAUCGGCUAACUCUGUACCAGCAGCCGCGGUAAUACAGAGGAUGCAAGC
RNAcentral lists this long non-coding RNA (776 nucleotides) under Rosa chinensis. Its description in RNAcentral is "sRNA RchiOBHm_Chr3g0496991". It matches the Rfam family "Bacterial small subunit ribosomal RNA", at positions 162 to 539 of the family's 1533-position model. The record is from Rfam by way of RNAcentral. Lineage: Eukaryota; Viridiplantae; Streptophyta; Magnoliopsida; Rosales; Rosaceae.